AACAAAGGAAAUAAACAGAAAUGAAACACAAAGGUGCAGGAGAGGCUCUAAAAAUAUUUUGUUGCCUCUGGUACUUCUUGUCUCCAGAGGAGUUUUACAUCUCGGCAGGCAGGAGUCGUUUCUAAGUCUGUUGUUACUUGUACACUGAGGUUUCUUUGCCUCGUGCCAGCUGGGUGAUUAAUCAUAAUGAUUAUUAACAAAGAGCUCACAAGCAGCUCUGAGAAGCUCCUGUAGUGUCUGACUUGACCAUGGGUGUUUCUCUCCAUGAAUGGGCUCUGGUGCUGCUCUCAGCCUGUCCUGGCACUCAGCCCCUCACCAAGGUCACACAAUGCUCCUUCUGCCACUCCUGCUGACACCAGGAGGCUCCACAGCUCACCUACAGUUCUGCAAAGCAGAGAAUGAACAUCUUCCUACCCCUAGAGCUUGCCCUGUAGCCAGAGAAACAUGUUUGGAGUAAAAUCAUUUCUGGAGAUCUGCUCCCAGCAGAGGCCUGAGCAAACGCUGGCAGCUCCUGCCCUGGAGCCAUGGGCUGCUCAGCACUGCACUCCUGAGGCAAAAACCUGAUGCAUUUGUCCCACACACAUUCAACCUCCAACAGACUUUGUUUUCACUCACUUGCUGCUAAUGAGAAUCUCAGUCUUCAUUUUAAAAAACAAACUCAUCACAAAUAGGAAGAAACUGCGUGUAUCAGAAAGGAGCUCUUUAAUUCCUGACUUGGCUAUUUUAAUACUUUGAUUAUAAUGAGAAAAGCUCAUUGCACCAGUUUCCUGGCCCAAAGGAAUGGUGGAUCAAAGUAUUAAGAGAUCUGUCUGCACAGGAGACAUGCUCCCAUCUUGUUGGCACAGAGACCGGGGACGUACUCAUAGCCACCAGGAGUUUGCUCACUCACUAAAUAUACAGAUCCAGUUUCUAGUGCAAGUUUGGAGUCAAGCAUUCCUUCCAAUGGGCUCACUAUGCCAGGGAUAUAAAUACCUGUUUAUUUACAUUUAGUGUAGCAGCCAGAGUAAGCCCCAUGAAAGGCUGGAAAGAGAAGACAUUUGGUAUCCUGAUAGCCUGUGGGCAGUGUGACAGCCGCAGAGGGGCUGUCCUGUGUGCUCUGUGCUGCUGCAGACAUCAGGGCCAGCUGCAUUUACUGCUCAGUCUGGGGAAAAUGUCCUCAGAGCUCCUGUGAGCAGCCCGGAGGGACCAGCUGGAACUCACCAGUAUCAAAGUGUUUGGUGUUAUCAGACUGGUAGAGUUUCAAACAACCUUGUGAUUUCUCUGUCCCAGUGGUUUCCAAACUUUUUGAGCCUCCAGAUUGCUGACUACCUUAAAAAUGAUACAGAAACCAGACCAGCUUCUGUCAUUGUCCAUCACUCACCUGAUCAUGAAUAAACUUAGAAAUAUUUCUGUCUACUGGGAUUUCACAGAGAAGCUGCACAAUGCUGGCCUUCACUUUCCAGGCUGCUGCUGUGUGUGGGGGAAGUGGCAAGUGCUCCCUGCCAUCACACACAGACACAUGUCCAAGAGUGUCACCAGCCUGAUGCUCUGGGAUUGGGUCAGCAUCAGGCCCUGAAGCUUUCCUUUCCCUGCAUAUUCUCAUGGCUGCUGAUACAGACAACUUUGUAGAGCAUUAAUGUAUUCCCAUUGAAAUUUUAGCUCAGGGCCAUAUUUUGUUAUGCAGCACUGGUGUAAUGUCAGCUUGCUGCCUCCUUGCCAAGCACAAAUCUUCUGCUUUGCAAAACCAGUGGUGAAGGCAGUCACGUGAAUAGGGAAAUUCUGCCCCCAGUAACUGCAAUGGUAAAUUACAUCUUGUCUCUCUAAUGUGAGUAUUACUUAAUGAAAAGAUUUGCAUUUAGGCUCUGCUGGUCUUACUGUAAAGCUUGAGCAUGUGGCCCUAAACCCAGCAAUUACAGACCUGUCUGUACUCUUAGCACCCUGAGAUACUGUACAAGGGGAAUGAACAGAAUUCUCUCCAUGGCUUUUGUGCUGAUCCACUGAAAUCUGCAGGAAGAUUUCCUUCACACCCCAAGACUUUGGAGCUGGCACACAAUGUCAGAUUUCAGAAGGUUAAUAGCAGGGGACUAUAAAAAGGGAAGAGAAUGCAAUAUGCUGAAAGCAAAAUUCACAUCAUACAAAGUUGCAGUCUUAAAUACCACCUGUCUUGCCAGGAGUGCUCUUUCUUUGGGGAUAUUUGGCUGAAUAACUGGCAGCUACUGUGAAAGAAUCUGUCCCCCAGCUGAUGUAAAUUUUGGGUUUCUGGGGCCAAGUCCUGUGUAGUUACACCUGGCUAUAGUCAAGGUAAUUGCACAUUACCAAGUUAUUCAGUUAUCCACAGUAGAUUUUUUUCCCCAUUAUUGCAGCCCAUUUUUGUUCUCAAGCAGAAUAUUUCUUUAGCCUAGUUCUGGUAUUGUUCUGGAGAAAACACAAGAAAAAAAAAAAAAAGCAAAAUGGGACAAUGGUAAUGCAAAAGCCUUAUUUAUCCAACCCUCUCCAUUAUGACUGCUGAGAGUAGGCUACAUCCUACCACCAUGUGUGUCCACACUGGAGUAUUUUAUGUACAGGAUGCUGUAAGAGUGGUCCAGUGAAUGGGAUCUGUAAUGCUACAAGAUGGCAUGGCAAUUAAAUUGUGUGCUCCAACAUCACUAAGCAAACUGCAGGCCAGACCAACCCCACCUACUUGAAGGAGAAGCAUAUUCAGGAGUAGAUUUGCAUGGAGGUCCCCAUCCUCUCAUGUUGUAUGCUGAGACACGGACAUAAUAUCUCUGGCCCUGCAAAUGGAAACAACUGAAGUCAAAACUAUCACUGGAUUCAAAACCUUGGCUGUAACAACUGCAAAGCAGUGCCUCGCAAAGAUUUUUUUUCCAGCUUAAAUAGUUUUAAUAAUUUAAAUGCACCAUGAUCAAUUGAAACAUACUACAAAGAUUUGAGGACAAGGUUUAAGACCCAAUUCUGUUUGUUGCAAAAUAGAUAUACAAAGACAAAUAAC
Zonotrichia albicollis (white-throated sparrow) is the source of this 2968-nucleotide non-coding RNA. The record is from RefSeq and is a predicted model, not a curated record. Lineage: Eukaryota; Metazoa; Chordata; Aves; Passeriformes; Passerellidae.